This 301-nucleotide ribosomal RNA is filed under the name uncultured bacterium. Its description in RNAcentral is "partial 16S ribosomal RNA". It matches the Rfam family "Bacterial small subunit ribosomal RNA", at positions 509 to 808 of the family's 1533-position model. The record is from RNAcentral.
CAGUCGCCGCGGUAAUACGUAGGUCCCGAGCGUUGUCCGGAUUUAUUGGGCGUAAAGGGAGCGCAGGCGGUUUAGUAAGUCUGGAGUUAAAGGCAUUGGCUCAACCAAUGUAUGCUUUGGAAACUGUUUGACUUGAGUGCAGAAGGGGAGAGUGGAAUUCCAUGUGUAGCGGAGAAAUGCGUAGAUAUAUGGAGGAACACCGGUGGCGAAAGCGGCUCUCUGGUCUGUCACUGACGCUGAGGCUCGAAAGCGUGGGUAGCGAACAGGAUUAGAUACCCCCGUAGUCCCUGUCUCUUAUACA